GGAAUCCUCACACUUCACCGUAAGAUAAAUGGCUCUAUUAUUCUACGUACCCUCCACGGGUAUCGGAAAAAGUGACUCUGUUUACUUCAAAUAUCUUGUUUGCUUCUUUUCCAAGUGGUUUACUAAGAUCUUGUCGUGAAUGUAGGCCUCGUUCAAGAUUUUCAUCAACGCUUGACGGUGCUCGUCUGAAUGGAUUAACAGUGACAGCAAGGAAAUCUGAGCAUG
This 225-nucleotide long non-coding RNA is filed under the name Nicotiana benthamiana. Its description in RNAcentral is "long non-coding RNA (NBEN_LNC025573)". Lineage: Eukaryota; Viridiplantae; Streptophyta; Magnoliopsida; Solanales; Solanaceae. The record is from RNAcentral.